CAUUUGAGCGUCUUGAAGAACUCACUGUUCCAAGUCACUAGUAUGGUGCAACACCUGAAUAGAGCCAAUUGUACAUCCCCAGGCAUUUUCAUGCACCUUUUCAUUUCUAUUCUUUUUUUUCUUUUCUUAAUGAUGCACCUUUUGAUGUACAAAAGAAUUUGUGUUGACAGGAUUGUGCCAUUACCUUAAUGGUCUUUCUUGUUUGUGUUUCCUUGGGGGGCAGGCGGAAUCUUAGUUAAGAAAGCAUCAAAUCCUCUCCCAGCAUUUUCUUCUAUAAUUGGUACUAACAAGCUGCACUGAAUAUUUUUUUAAGUGUAUUAAAAAGAUUUGGCAGAGAGUAUUUUUAGGUUUGUGGAUUAACAAGCACUAACCCAUCCUUCUUCCCUCCCCACUUGAUCCUUAAGGAUUUGCCUGAGUCAUGGAUUUCUUACUAGGCUUGUUAACUCUGUUAUUUUUUUAAAGCCACUAGAAUAAAGGAAUCUUUUGCAGAGAGCCAUCAUCAGGAUUUAAGCCAUGAAUAGACUGAACAACCUCCAUGACUCCCCUUGGGGGAGUCACCUUUGACCCCCCCCCCUCAGAUGGUGAAGCUUCUUUAGCCUCCUAAAUGAAGCAAGAUGAGGGCUUAAAACAAGCACUUUUUCUGUCCUUGCAGAUUCACUGAAUCCAGUGACAAGCAAGAUAAAAGAUGAGCUCUGUUGGCAUUUUAUUUUCACAGCUGUUUUUCCACAAAACUGGGGCAGAGGGAGGAAGAGAAGAUAAAGUAGAGAGAAUAUAAAAGGCUACAGAAACUUAUUAGAAGGAAAGUGUAACCCCAAGGCCCAGCACAGCGUUCCUUACUCUGGGGCCUUCCAAUCAGGUUGGACUAUCCCACCUAUAAUUCCCAACCAGCAUGGGAAUUAAGGGAGUUGAAUUCCAACACAUCUGAAGAGCAAUAGAUUGGGAAAGCUGGAUUAACAAAAGCUUGUCUAGCCUUUUUUUAAUCAUUCUAGAAUAAGGUUCCAGACAGGACUUUUCCCUGGCACAACACAUAAAACAACCACGGAGCCCAGAAUGAAAAGGCAGCAAAUUAAAGACUUUGGUCUUAAUGCUUUUCAGUGGGAUCAUAGAAAGCUGCCUUUUACCAAGACCACUACUGUUGACUGUGGCUUGCCAGGUUUUCAGGCAGGAUCUUUUGCCAGCUGUACCAUUAAUUCUUUGCAGGCAAAGCAUGUGAGAGAUACAGUCUGAUGCUGUGAUUCCUUGUCGUCACUGCCAGUCCGCUGAUUAGACCAGAACUCACUCAUCACCUCAGCUUCCACCUCCUACAUUCACCACCAAUCACUACAAAUUUUGUAGAAAUGGAUGAGAAGAAUGCACAUGAUGAAACAGGCAGCAAGAAAUUGCAUCAAGGAGGCCACUAGCUAAGAAGGAAGAUUAUGAAAAGCGGUUGUUGUGUAGAUUAAGGAAAGGCUUUUUUCUUCCUUUAGGGGAAGUCAGCAAAUUGCAUGAUGAUGUCUAAUGCUUUAUCCAAGCAAUCAUCUCUGAAAUCCCCUUGUCAUGCAAAGCAGUCAACUGUCUCCUCCAUCAGUUCUGUCAAUCGCUGGGUGAAUGGACUUCAAAAAUGCCCCCAUUAUGCAUCAAGAGGCUUUUCAAGUGUAAGCAAGGAGGAGAGGAAGAAUGCUUUCCCAUUGUAGCUGGGAAGAGGCCAAAUAGCCUGAGCAGCUCAGGCAGUUAAUACGUAUUGACUCAUCAAUGAAAUGAAUGUAAUAACUCAUUAAAAUUGGAGUAAAAAAGGAUGCACUUUUAAGAAGAAUCUUCAGUGUCACACCUGGGCACUUUUUUUUAAAAUGUCCAAGCCAUUGAGACAAAGAAGCUGUGAGCAUUAUUUGAUCCAGAGAUCUAUCUAAAAUACUUUCCAAUGUUCUGGAAUCUGUUGCAGUUCGUUUUCUAUAAUGACAGUCAAGCUAGUCUAUUGUAGGAAAGGAGUAGUCUUGUGGCACCUAAAACAUACAUGUAUGUGUUAUAAGUUUUCAUGGACGAAUCUACAAAAGUUUAUGACAUAAUAAAAUAGUUUGAAUUUCA
This is a long non-coding RNA of Candoia aspera, 2061 nucleotides long. RefSeq lists it as uncharacterized. The transcript has 2 exons. The record is from RefSeq and is a predicted model, not a curated record. Lineage: Eukaryota; Metazoa; Chordata; Lepidosauria; Squamata; Candoiidae.